RNAcentral lists this ribosomal RNA (406 nucleotides) under uncultured bacterium. Its description in RNAcentral is "partial 16S ribosomal RNA". It matches the Rfam family "Bacterial small subunit ribosomal RNA", at positions 30 to 526 of the family's 1533-position model. The record is from RNAcentral.
AUUGAACGCUGGCGGCAGGCCUAACACAUGCAAGUCGAACGAGUGGCGGACGGGUGAGUAAUGUCUGGGAAACUGCCCGAUGGAGGGGGAUAACUACUGGAAACGGUAGCUAAUACCGCCUACCAUCGGAUGUGCCCAGAUGGGAUUAGCUAGUAGGUGGGGUAACGGCUCACCUAGGCGACGAUCCCUAGCUGGUCUGAGAGGAUGACCAGCCAAACUGGAACGGAAAAACGGUCCAAACUCCUACGGGGGGCAGCAGUGGGGAAUAUUGGACAAUGGGGGCAAGCCUGAUGCAGCCCGGCCGGGUAUAAGGAAAAGGCCUUCGGGUUUUAAAGUACUUUAAGCGAGGAGGCGUUACUCGCAGAAGAAGCACCGGCUAACUCCGUGCCAGCCGCCGCGGUAAUUC